GUGUCAGCCGCCGCGGUAAGACGAAGGUGGCUAGCGUUAUUCGGUAUCACUGGGCUUAAAGCGUGUGUAGGCGGGGGUGUAAGCGCUGUGUGAAAUCCCUCGGCUCAACCGAGGAAUUGCACAGCGAACUGCACCUCUUGAGGCAGGCAGGGGUGCGUGGAACUCUUGGUGGAGCGGUGAAAUGCGUAGAUAUCAAGAGGAACGCCGGUGGUGAAGACGACGCACUGGGCCUGCCCUGACGCUGAGACACGAAAGCGUGGGGAGCAAACAGGAUUAGAUACCCUGGUAGUCCACGCCCUAAACGAUGUCUACUAGGUUGUGGCCGUUCCGACGCGGUCACGGCCGAAGCGAAAGUGUUAAGUAGACCGCCUGGGGAGUACGGUCGCAAGGCUAAAACUCAAAUGAAUUGACGGGG
RNAcentral lists this ribosomal RNA (415 nucleotides) under uncultured prokaryote. RNAcentral describes it as "bacterial SSU rRNA". It matches the Rfam family "Bacterial small subunit ribosomal RNA", at positions 505 to 918 of the family's 1533-position model. The record is from RNAcentral.